RNAcentral lists this ribosomal RNA (253 nucleotides) under uncultured bacterium. RNAcentral describes it as "partial 16S ribosomal RNA". It matches the Rfam family "Bacterial small subunit ribosomal RNA", at positions 524 to 776 of the family's 1533-position model. The record is from RNAcentral.
UACGGGGGGGGCAAGCGUUGUUCGGAAUUACUGGGCGUAAAGGGUUUGUAGGUGGCUUGCUAAGUCAGACGUGAAAUCCCUCAGCUUAACUGGGGAACUGCGUCUGAGACUGGCAAGCUUGAGUGCAGGAGAGGAACGCGGAAUUCCAGGUGUAGCGGUGAAAUGCGUAGAUAUCGGGAGGAACACCUGUGGCGAAAGCGGCGCACUGGACCACUACUGACGCUGAGGCGCGAAAGCUAGGGGAGCAAACAGG